UUAAAAGACCUAUUAAUAGGUAUGCUUAGGGAGGAGCUUGCGUCACAUUAGUUAGUUGGUGGGGUAAAGGCCUACCAAGACUAUGAUGUGUAGCCGGGCUGAGAGGUUGAACGGCCACAUUGGGACUGAGACACGGCCCAAACUCCUACGGGAGGCAGCAGUAGGGAAUUUUCGGCAAUGGAGGAAACUCUGACCGAGCAACGCCGCGUGAACGAUGAAGUAUUUCGGUACGUAAAGUUCUUUUAUUAGGGAAGAAUAAAUGAUGGAAAAAUCAUUCUGACGGUACCUAAUGAAUAAGCCCCGGCUAACUAUGUGCCAGCAGCCGCGGUAAUACAUAGGGGGCAAGCGUUAUCCGGAAUUAUUGGGCGUAAAGGGUGCGUAGGCUGUUAAAUAAGUUUAUGGUCUAAGUGCAAUGCUCAACAUUGUGAUGCUAUAAAAACUGUUUAGCUAGAGUAAGAUAGAGGCAAGUGGAAUUCCAUGUGUAGUGGUAAAAUGCGUAAAUAUAUGGAGGAACACCAGUAGCGAAGGCGGCUUGCUGGGUCUUUACUGACGCUGAGGCACGAAAGCGUGGGGAGCAAACAGGAUUAGAUACCCUGGUAGUCCACGCCGUAAACGAUGAGUACUAAACGUUGGGUAAAACCAGUGUUGAAGUUAACACAUUAAGUACUCCGCCUGAGUAGUACGUACGCAAGUAUGAAACUUAAAGGAAUUGACGGGACUCCGCACAAGCGGUGGAUCAUGUUGUUUAAUUCGAAGGUACCCGAAAAACCUCACCAGGUCUUGACAUGCUUCUGCAAAGCUGUAGAAACACAGUGGAGGUUAUCAGUUGCACAGGUGGUGCAUGGUUGUCGUCAGCUCGUGUCGUGAGAUGUUGGGUUAAGUCCCGCAACGAGCGCAACCCUUAUUGUUAGUUGCCAGCACGUAAUGGUGGGGACUUUAGCAAGACUGCCAGUGAUAAAUUGGAGGAAGGUGGGGACGACGUCAAAUCAUCAUGCCCCUUAUGACCUGGGCUACAA
This 1016-nucleotide ribosomal RNA is filed under the name Canola aster yellows phytoplasma. Its description in RNAcentral is "bacterial SSU rRNA". It matches the Rfam family "Bacterial small subunit ribosomal RNA", at positions 201 to 1219 of the family's 1533-position model. Lineage: Bacteria; Bacillati; Mycoplasmatota; Mollicutes; Acholeplasmatales; Acholeplasmataceae. The record is from RNAcentral.